Molecule: long non-coding RNA, 1159 nt
Filed under: Chloebia gouldiae (Gouldian finch)
Lineage: Eukaryota; Metazoa; Chordata; Aves; Passeriformes; Passeridae
Description: Erythrura gouldiae (Gouldian finch) lncRNA (ENSEGOG00005011634.1)
Source: RNAcentral
CAAAUCUGCCUCAAAUUUGGAGAUUUUACCUUAAAAUUGACCAAAUCUACUUCAAAAUCUGUGAUUUUACCUCAAAAUUGGCCAAAUCUACUUCAAAAUCUGAGAUUUUACCUUAAUAGUGGCCAAAUCUGCCUCAGAUUUGGAGAUUUUACCUCAAAAUUGGCCAAAUCUACUACAAAAUCUGUGAUUUUACCUCAAAAUUGGCCAAAUCAAUCUCAAAAUCUGAUUUUAUCAUAAAAUUGGCCAAUCUGCCCCAAAUUUGGAGAUUUUACCUCAAAAUUGGCCAAAUUGACCUCAAAAUCUUUGAUUUUACCUCAAAAUUGGCCAAAUCUGCCUCAAAAUUUGGAGAUUUUACCUCAAAAUUGGCCAAAUUGACCUCAAAAUCUUUGAUUUUACCUCAAAAUUGGCCAAAUCUGCCUCAAAUUUGGAGAUUUUACCUCAAAAUUGGCCAAAUCUGCCUCAAAUUUGGGGAUUUUACUCCAAAAUUGGCCAAAUCUGCCUCAAAAUCUGUGAUUUUACCUUAAAAUUGGCCAAAUCUACUUCAAAAUAUGGUGAUUUUACCUCAAAAUUCGCCAAAUCCACAUCAAAAUUUGGGGAUUUUCCUUAAAAUUGGCCAAAUCUGCCUCAAAUUUGGAGAUUUUACCUUAAAAUUGGCCAAAUUGACCUCAAAAUCUUUGAUUUUACCUCAAAAUUGGCCAAAUCUCCUUCAAAAUCUGUGAUUUUACCUUAAUAGUGGCAGAAUCUGCCUCAAAUUUGGAGAUUUUAGCUCAAAAUUGGCCAAAUCUGCCUCAAAUUUGGGGAUUUUACUUCAAAAUUGGCCAAAUCUACCUCAAAAUUUGGGAAUUUUUCUUUAAAAUUGGCCAAAUCUACUUCAAAAUCUGUGAUUUUACCUUUAAAUUGGCCAAAUCUACCUCAUAAUUUGGAGAUUUUACUUUAAAAUCGGAGAUUUUACUUUAAAAUUGGAAAUUUUACCUCAGAAUUAUCUAUUUUUCCUCUAAAAUCAACAAGUUCUCCUCAUUUUAACCCAAAAUCCUCCUGAUUUACCCCAAAAUUGUUGUUUUUUGCUUUGAAUUACCCAAAUUAUCCGAAAAUUGGAAAUUUUACUUCAAAAUUAACCAUUUCCACCCAAAAAAAAUAAAUUAAGCUCCCAAAUUCCCCA